This 1401-nucleotide ribosomal RNA is filed under the name Triticum aestivum (bread wheat). Its description in RNAcentral is "partial small subunit ribosomal RNA". Lineage: Eukaryota; Viridiplantae; Streptophyta; Magnoliopsida; Poales; Poaceae. The record is from RNAcentral.
AUGGGCGGGCCACCGCUGCCGCCGUUCCAGGCGGGGCACCCCAGCGGGCCGCCUCCGCCGCUGCUGCACCUGCCCUGGUCCUCGGUACCCGCGCAACCAGGAUUUGUUGGAGGUAGUGCUGAUCUUGCAACAUCAAAUACGAAAAGGAAGGGCACGUCUUCGGGGAUCAGAGACCGCCUGAGCGACCUCCCAGACGCCCUGCUGGGCCACGUCCUCUCCUUCCUCCCGAACAAGGAGGCCGGCCGCGCAGCGGGGCUGUCCCGGCGGUGGCGCGACGUCUUCUGCAACGUCCACGCCGUCUCCUUCGGGGAGCGCCCGGGCGCCAGGGCCACCGACUGGACCACCUUCUACCACGAGGCGGACGAGAAGAAGAGCUGCAGCGCGGCGCUCCUCGACGACGUCUGCUCCGCGCUCCUCUGCCGCCGCCGGACCGCCGGCCACCACGUGCCGCUGCGCAGCUUCCGCUUCGCCUUCGACCGGUGCCACCACUGGAACUUCGUCCACGUCGACCAGUGGCUCUCCUACGCGCUGCGGCACGGCGACCAGGAGCUCCACCUCGACCUGCGCUUCAAGAUCGCCCCGAUCUGCGAUGACAAGGCCGUGGACAGCGGCACCGACAACACCGACGACGAGGACGGGUCCUCCAAGCUGAGGAGGCGGUGGGUAUACGUGCUCCCAAGAAGGCUCUUCACCUGCAGGGUAAUACGGACGCUAUGCGUCGCCUAUUGCCGGCUGAUACUGCCGGCGGCCGUCAACCUGCCGCUCCUCGAGACCUUGAGCAUCACGGCUCCCCACAGCGAUGGUGGGAGGAGCAUCCAGCGGCUGAUCUCCAGCUGCCCCCGCCUCGUCGACCUGACGCUGGAAGCUGUCCACCGCCUGAAGCGAGUAUCCGUGCUCGACCAAUGCCUCCGCAGAUUCGCCCUUCGCUGCUGCCACAACCUGAAGUCUGUCGACAUCGACGCGUCGGAGCUGAGGUCGCUGGACUACUGCGGCACGGUGCCGGCCGGGCCGCUCCUGUCCUUGCACGGCUCGCCGCGAGUCCCUUCGUGCACCGUGGACUUCUGCAGAGUGCUCCCCGAGGAUGCAGGGUUUACGGGGUUUAGGGUGUUCAUGCAAAAAAUCAGUGAUGCCAAGCACCUCCACCUGCACCAUCGUAGACUGGAGAGCAGGUUCUUCUUAGGUUUCCCUCCAUUCUCUAGCCUGACGCGACUGGUGUUACAAGGGCCCCUCGAGCAUUGCGGCGCCGUCGUCUCGGUGGGUAGAAUCCUGGAGCAGACCCCGAACCUCGAGGUCCUGACGCUGUUCAUGGAAGAGCAAGCCGCGCACACGAAAAAUAGAGAUGAUACCAUGGGCGAGAUAGAGAGCUGGGUGGUGGCCGAUGCAGAAAAGGUUUUCCUGUGA